CCGCCGCGGUGCAUUGUGGGACUGGGGGAGGACUGAACUGCGUGAUGGGGUGGGAGAUCCGGGCCUGGAGGAGGGCGGACGGCCCCGAAUUGCUGCGGAUGUUGCGGGAAUGGGCGGAACUGGAGGGGGGGCCCAGGCCUUCGUGUGAGGAGGGUGAGGGCCCCGAAGCACGUGACCCCGCCGAGACCUAUGACCUUUGACCCCCCCCCUCCUCGUGACCCUCACCGUGGGAACCCCACCUCUGCUCGCCGCCCUCCAUGGCGCCGCCCCCCCCCCCGUGCUGCUGGUAGCCGAGCGCUCAGGGCCCCCCCUGGGGGGUUUUGCUGUGGCUUCGUGGGGCUUCAGCACCUGGAGGGGCCGCGACCUGCGCGUGGGGGAGCUGUGGGUGCCGCCCGCGCUCAGAGACCAAGGGCUGCAGGAGCUGCUGCUGCGUGGGGUGGCCCAGGUCGCCGUGGCUGCAGGCUGCGCUCAGCUGAGAGUGGAGGUGGGGGGGGAGGGGGCGCCUUUGGACCCCCCCUCUUUUGGGGCCGUCGAUUUGGGGUCCAGCGAGGGCUGGUUGGGGGUCAGCUUCCAGGGGGCGGCGCUGCAGGAGCUGGCGGGAGCCCCCCCCC
This is an RNA transcript of Tympanuchus pallidicinctus (lesser prairie-chicken), 611 nucleotides long. It is a transcript of the gene named thialysine N-epsilon-acetyltransferase-like, with no coding region annotated. The record is from RefSeq and is a predicted model, not a curated record. The transcript is spliced from 6 exons. Lineage: Eukaryota; Metazoa; Chordata; Aves; Galliformes; Phasianidae.